Molecule: unclassified non-coding RNA, 226 nt
Filed under: Hevea brasiliensis (rubber tree)
Lineage: Eukaryota; Viridiplantae; Streptophyta; Magnoliopsida; Malpighiales; Euphorbiaceae
Source: RNAcentral
GUUCAUGAAUGCAGCUACUGGCACACUUCCAUUACUUAUUUGGAGAAACUAUUUUUCGUUUAUGAUAGCGCAUGUUCACAAUGUCAUGUACAGCAAAAACAGUUCCUUUCAAUUAUGUAGCAAAAUAGCUUAAAUUAGUAUCUUUUCUUAUCAUACUUAUCGUUAUCUGAUUAUAGUUAUGUCGUUAAACCCUUUCAAAAUUUUUAAAGAUUUUUGCAAAAUGAAG